CCUACGGGAGGCUGCAGUAGGGAAUCUUCCACAAUGGGCGAAAGCCUGAUGGAGCAACGCCGCGUGGGUGAAGAAGGUCUUCGGAUCGUAAAACCCUGUUGUUAGAGAAGUAAGUUCGUGCGAGUAACUGUUCUCGUUUCGACGUUAUCUAACCAGAAAGCCUCGCCAAACUACGUGCCAGCAGCCGCGGUAAUACGUAGGUGCCAAGCGGUAUCCGGGUUUAUUGGGCGUAAGGGGAACGCAGUGGGUCUUUUAAUUCUGAUGUGAAAGCCUCGGCUUAACCGGAGUAGUGCAUUGGAAACUGGGAGACUUGAGUGCAGAAGAGGAGGGUGGAACUCCAGGUGUAGCGGUGAAAUGCGUAGAUAUAUGGAAGAACACCAGUGGCGAAGGCAGCUCACUGAUCUGUAACUGACGCUGAGGUUCGAAAGCGUGGGUAGCAAACAGGAUUAGAUACCCUAGUAGUC
Molecule: ribosomal RNA, 464 nt
Filed under: uncultured bacterium
Lineage: Bacteria
Description: partial 16S ribosomal RNA
Rfam family: Bacterial small subunit ribosomal RNA
Source: RNAcentral